Molecule: ribosomal RNA, 798 nt
Filed under: uncultured Porphyromonadaceae bacterium
Lineage: Bacteria; Pseudomonadati; Bacteroidota; Bacteroidia; Bacteroidales; Porphyromonadaceae
Description: bacterial SSU rRNA
Rfam family: Bacterial small subunit ribosomal RNA
Source: RNAcentral
AGAGUUUGAUUAUGGCUCAGGAUGAACGCUAGCGAUAGGCCUAACACAUGCAAGUCGAGGGGCAGCACAUGAAGUAGCAAUACGGAUGGUGGCGACCGGCGCACGGGUGAGUAACGCGUAUGCAACCUGCCUACAACAGGGGAAUAACCCGUUGAAAGACGGACUAAUACCCCAUAACACAGGGAUCCCGCAUGGGAAUAUUUGUUAAAGAUUUAUCGGUUGUAGAUGGGCAUGCGUUCCAUUAGCUUGUUGGUGAGGUAACGGCUCACCAAGGCAACGAUGGAUAGGGGAACUGAGAGGUUUAUCCCCCACACUGGUACUGAGACACGGACCAGACUCCUACGGGAGGCAGCAGUGAGGAAUAUUGGUCAAUGGACGCAAGUCUGAACCAGCCACGUCGCGUGAAGGAAGACGGCCCUACGGGUUGUAAACUUCUUUUGUAAGGGAAUAAAGUGCAGUACGUGUACUGUUUUGCAUGUACCUUACGAAUAAAGAUCGGCUAACUCCGUGCCAGCAGCCGCGGUAAUACGGAGGAUCCGAGCGUUAUCCGGAUUUAUUGGGUUUAAAGGGUGCGCAGGCGGGAGAUUAAGUCGGCGGUGAAAUUUUGCAGCUCAACUGUAAAAGUGCCUUCGAAACUGGUUUUCUUGAGUGUGGAUGAAGUGGGCGGAAUUUGUGGUGUAGCGGUGAAAUGCAUAGAUAUCACGAGGAACUCCGAUUGCGCAGGCAGCUUACUAAACCAUAACUGACGCUCAGGCACGAAGGCGUGGGGAUCAAACAGGAUUAGAUACCCUGGUAGUC